CCUACGGGGGGCAGCAGUGGGGGAUAUUGCACAAUGGGGGGUACCCUGAUGCAGCGACGCCGCGUGGGUGAAGAAGCGCCUCGGCGCGUAAAGCCCUGUCAGCAGGGAAGAAAAUGACGGUACCUGAAGAAGUAGCCCCGGCUCACUACGUGCCAGCAGCCGCGGUAAUACGUAGGCGGCAAGCGUUAUCCGGAUUUACUGGGGUUAAAGGGGGCGCAGACGGGGAUGCAAGCCAGGAGGGAAAGCCCGGGGCCCAACCCCGGGACUGCUCUUGGAACUGCGUGGCUGGAGUGCAGGAGGGGCAGGCGGAAUUCGUGGUGUAGCGGUGAAAUGCGUAGAUAUCAGGAGGAACACCGGUGGCGAAGGCGGCCUGCUGGACGAUGACUGACGUUGAGGCUCGAAAGCGUGGGGAGCAAACAGGAUUAGAUACCCGAGUAGUC
Molecule: ribosomal RNA, 440 nt
Filed under: uncultured bacterium
Lineage: Bacteria
Description: partial 16S ribosomal RNA
Rfam family: Bacterial small subunit ribosomal RNA
Source: RNAcentral